Molecule: non-coding RNA, 148 nt
Organism: Gorilla gorilla gorilla (western lowland gorilla)
Lineage: Eukaryota; Metazoa; Chordata; Mammalia; Primates; Hominidae
Rfam family: Metazoan signal recognition particle RNA
About the family: The signal recognition particle (SRP) is a universally conserved ribonucleoprotein. It is involved in the co-translational targeting of proteins to membranes.
Source: Rfam
GCUGGGCUCGGUGGCACGUGCCUGUAAUCCCAGCUACUCGGGAGGCUGAGGCAGGAGAAUUGCUUGAGCCCAGGAGGCGGAGGUUGCAGUGGGCUGAGGUUGCACCAUUGUACUCCAGCCUGGGCAACAGAGCAAGACUCUGUCUCAA